Molecule: ribosomal RNA, 460 nt
Filed under: uncultured bacterium
Lineage: Bacteria
Description: partial 16S ribosomal RNA
Rfam family: Bacterial small subunit ribosomal RNA
Source: RNAcentral
CCUACGUGUGGCAGCAGUGAGGAAUAUUGGUCAAUGGGCGCGAGCCUGAACCAGCCAAGUCGCGUGAGGGAUGAAGGUCCUACGGAUUGUAAACCUCUUUUGCCGGGGAGCAAGCGUGCGUUCGUGAACGCGCGUCUAGAGUCCCCGGAGAAAAAGCAUCGGAUAACGACGUGCCAGCAGCCGCGGUAAUACGGAGGAUGCGAGGGUUAUCCGUAUUUAUUGGGUUUAACGGGUGCGUAGGCGGGAUGCCAAGUCAGCGGUAAAAAUGGGGUGCUCAACGCCGUCGAGCCGUUGAAACUGGCGUUCGUGAGUGGGCGAGAAGUAUGCGGAAUGCGUGGUGUAGCGGUGAAAUGCAUAGAUAUCACGCAGAACUCCGAUUGCGAAGGCAGCAUACCGGCGCCCUACUGACGCUGAGGCACGAAAGCGUGGGUAUCGAACAGGAUUAGAUACCCGUGUAGUC